GAGAGGUGCUGCAUGGCUGUCGUCAGCUCGUGUUGUGAAAUGUUGGGUUAAGUCUCGCAACGAGCGCAACCCCUAUCGUCUGUUGCCAGCAUUAAGUUGGGCACUCUGACGAGACUGCCUGGGUUAACCAGGAGGAAGGUGGGGAUGACGUCAAGUCCUCAUGGCCCUUAUGUCUAGGGCUACACACGUAAUACAAUGGCGCGUACAAAGGGAAGCGAACUCGCAAGGGGGAGCAAAUCUCAAAAAGCGCGCCUCAGUUCGGAUUGAAGUCUGCAACUCGACUUCAUGAAGUUGGAAUCGCUAGUA
RNAcentral lists this ribosomal RNA (306 nucleotides) under uncultured Peredibacter sp. Its description in RNAcentral is "bacterial SSU rRNA". It matches the Rfam family "Bacterial small subunit ribosomal RNA", at positions 1033 to 1340 of the family's 1533-position model. The record is from RNAcentral. Lineage: Bacteria; Pseudomonadati; Bdellovibrionota; Bacteriovoracia; Bacteriovoracales; Bacteriovoracaceae.